This 289-nucleotide ribosomal RNA is filed under the name uncultured Bacillus sp. RNAcentral describes it as "partial 16S ribosomal RNA". Lineage: Bacteria; Bacillati; Bacillota; Bacilli; Caryophanales; Bacillaceae. The record is from RNAcentral.
CUACUAGGGUAUCUAAUCCUGUUUGCUCCCCACGCUUUCGCGCCUCAGUGUCAGUUACAGACCAGAAAGUCGCCUUCGCCACUGGUGUUCCUCCAUAUCUCUACGCAUUUCACCGCUACACAUGGAAUUCCACUUUCCUCUUCUGCACUCAAGUCUCCCAGUUUCCAAUGACCCUCCACGGUUGAGCCGUGGGCUUUCACAUCAGACUUAAGAAACCACCUGCGCGCGCUUUACGCCCAAUAAUUCCGGAUAACGCUUGCCACCUACGUAUUACCGCGGCGGCUGGCAC